UUGCACUCCAGCCUGGGCCACGCAGCGAGACACUGCCUUAAAAAGAAAAGAGGCGCCCAGGCGCAGCGAGGUUCCACGUGAGCACUUGCGUCUCUCCUCAAACCUAACGAUGCCGCGGGAACUGAGGAGCCAAAUGAAACUGGACGGGAGAACCGAAGCGAAGCCGAAGCGUUAGCCCAGAGCGAGGGCGGACUGGAAAGCCGGAGCGGGGCCGGGCGCGCCGCCCGAAAAGGCUGCCCCUUCAUCCCAGCGGUAACCGCCGCAGAAGAGGAGAGAUGGCUCCGGCUCCGCCAGCGGCACCGCCUCACGCUGGAGGAGGGCAAACUGGGCGUGGAGCGGUGCCUGGAGGCGCUGGUCUCCGGCGACAUCGAAGACCACGAGACGAGAUCGGGCGGCUGCGGCCUCUGCGGGGCCCGCGGGCUCAAGGAUAUGAAGACUUGGGUGACUCAGAAGCGGAGAAUGAAGCAAAAGGUAAUUUUGCACCUCAAAAGAAGCCAGUUUGGGUGGAUGAAGAAGAUGAAGAUGAGGAAAUGGUUGACAUGAUGAACAAUCGGUUUCGGAAAGAUAAUGAUGAAAAAUGCUAGUGAAAGUAAACUUUAGAAAGACAGCCUUAAGAAGAGACUUUAAGAAUUCCAGCAUGCCGUGGGAGGAGUACCUGCCUGGGCAGAGACUAAUAGGCGGAAAACAUCUUCAGAUGAUGAAAGUGAAGAGCAUGAAGAUGCUUUGUUGCAAAGGACAGGGAAUUUCAUAACCACAAUAACUUCUCUGCCAAGAGGAAUCCUGAAGAUGAGGAACUGCCAGCGUUCCUCAUCUGAACGUCCUACUGCUGCUCAGAUCUCAUCUGUGCAGUUCCAUCCGUGUGCACAGAUUGUGAUUGUUGCUGGAUUAGAUAACCUGUAUCACUAUUUCAGGUUGAUGGAAGAACAAAUCCUAAAAUCCAAAGCACCUAUUUGGAAAGGUUUCCAAUCCUUAAGGCUUGUCUUAGUGCUAAUGGGGAAGAAGUUUUAGCCACGAGUACCCACAGCAAGGUUUUUUAUGUCUAUGACAUGCUAGCUGGAAAAUUAAUUCCUGUGCAUCCAGUGAGAGGUUUGAAAGAAGAUGGUGAGGAGCUCUGAAGUCUCCCCAGAUGGGUCCUUCUUGCUCAUAAAUGGCACUGCCAGGUAUUUGCAUUUGCUAUCAAUGAAGACCAAAGAACUGAUUGGAAGCAUGAAAAUUAAUGGAAGGGUUGCAGCAUCCACGUUCUCUUCAGAUAGUAAGAAAGCAUAUGCCUCUUCGGAGGAUGGAGAAGUUUAUGUUUGGGAUGUGAACUCAAGGAGGUGCCUUAACAGAUUUGUUGAUUAAGGCAGUUUAUAUAGAUGAAGCAUUGCCACAUCUAGGAAUGGAUAGUAUGUUGCUUGUGGUUCUAAUUGUGGAGUAGUAAAUAUAAACAGUCAAGAUUCUUGUCUCCGAGAAACAAACCCAAAGCCAAUAAAAGCUAUAAUGAACUUGGUUACAGGUGUUACUUCUCUGACAUUCAAUCCUACUACAGAAAUAUUGGCAGUUGCUUCAGAAAAAAUGAAAGAAGCAGUCAGAUUGGUUCAUCUUCCUUCCUGUACAGUAUUUCAAACUUCCCAUUCAUUAAAAAGAAGAAUAUUUCUCAUGUUUAUACCAUGGAAUUUUCUCUCAGAGGUGGAUACUUUGCCUUGGGGAAUGAAAAGGGCAAGGCCCUGAUGUAUAGGUUGCAUCAUUACUCAGACUUCUAAACAGACUAUUUGAAGUCCAGUUGAGUCACAAGAGAAGCCUGUCUUGAUAUAUCAUCUCAGAAAAUUUCCCAAAUGUGUGAUAAUAUGUGGAAAAUGGUUUAUAAAGCCAGCUAUGCUUAAGAGCCAGUAAUGUCUUAAUAAACAUGUGGCAGCUUU
This is an RNA transcript of Cercocebus atys (sooty mangabey), 1898 nucleotides long. It is a transcript of the gene named U3 small nucleolar RNA-associated protein 18 homolog, with no coding region annotated. The transcript is spliced from 2 exons. The record is from RefSeq and is a predicted model, not a curated record. NCBI's taxonomy places the organism in Eukaryota, Metazoa, Chordata, Mammalia, Primates, Cercopithecidae.